GGCCAGCCCAGCAGGAUUUAUGCCAAACCAUGCCUUCCAGUCAUCAUUGACUUUUUAUCCCACGUUGUUCACGUAAUAUUGGGCAUAAUGUGGGGCAUCAUACUUCUGUGGGCGUUGUCGAUAGGGUUGUGCAUUGCCAUUUUGUGCCAAAUAAGUAAAAAGCUGGAAACUCCUAACGUGGCCUACAGCUCUGAAGCGAAAGCAGGAAACUACACAACUCUGACAGAGACUCUGGAUGCAGACGAAAUCUGACUUUUCUCGUUACUUUUUAUUUUCUCUGUACACAAAUUUAAGGAAACUCUUGCCGAACAUCUGAAAACACUUAAUAUUC
Molecule: long non-coding RNA, 331 nt
Organism: Nematolebias whitei (Rio pearlfish)
Lineage: Eukaryota; Metazoa; Chordata; Actinopteri; Cyprinodontiformes; Rivulidae
Exons: 3
Source: RefSeq, a predicted model, not a curated record